Molecule: transfer RNA, 84 nt
Filed under: Bacillota bacterium
Lineage: Bacteria; Bacillati; Bacillota
Description: Firmicutes bacterium (hot springs metagenome) tRNA-Leu
Rfam family: tRNA
About the family: Transfer RNA (tRNA) molecules are approximately 80 nucleotides in length. Their secondary structure includes four short double-helical elements and three loops (D, anti-codon, and T loops).
Source: RNAcentral
GCCGGGAUGGCGGAAUUGGCAGACGCGCCGGACUCAAAAUCCGGUGGUGGCGACACCGUGCGGGUUCGACCCCCGCUCCCGGCA